This 73-nucleotide transfer RNA is filed under the name Spirochaetaceae bacterium. RNAcentral describes it as "tRNA-Lys". It matches the Rfam family "tRNA". Rfam says of the family: Transfer RNA (tRNA) molecules are approximately 80 nucleotides in length. Their secondary structure includes four short double-helical elements and three loops (D, anti-codon, and T loops). Lineage: Bacteria; Pseudomonadati; Spirochaetota; Spirochaetia; Spirochaetales; Spirochaetaceae. The record is from RNAcentral.
GAGCCGCUAGCUCAUCUGGCAGAGCAACGCCCUUUUAAGGCGUGGGUGCCGGGUUCGAUCCCCGGGCGGCUCA